This 460-nucleotide ribosomal RNA is filed under the name uncultured bacterium. Its description in RNAcentral is "partial 16S ribosomal RNA". It matches the Rfam family "Bacterial small subunit ribosomal RNA", at positions 338 to 795 of the family's 1533-position model. The record is from RNAcentral.
CCUACGGGUGGCAGCAGAGAGGAAUAUUGGUCAAUGGACGCAAGUCUGAACCAGCCAUGCCGCGUGCAGGAAGACGGCUCGAUGAGUUGUACACUGCGUUUGUACGAGGGUAAACGCAUAUACGCGUAUCUGUCUGAAAGUAUCGUACGAAUAAGGAUCGGCUAACUACGUGCCAGCAGCCGCGGUACUACGGAGGCUUCAAGCGUUAUCCGGAUUUAUUGGGGUUAAAGGGUUCGUAGGCGGUCGGAUAAGUUAGAGGUGAAAUCCCGAGGCUCAACUUAGGAAUUGCCUCUGAUACUGUUCGGCGAGAGAGUAGUUGCGGUAGGCGGAAUGUAUGGUGUAGCGGUGAAAUGCUUAGAGAUCAUACAGAACACCGAUUGCGAAGGCAGCUUACCAAGCUACUUCUGACGUUGAGGCACGAAAGCGUGGGGAGCAAACAGGAUUAGAUACCCUUGUAGUC